RNAcentral lists this ribosomal RNA (413 nucleotides) under Trypanobia asterobia. Its description in RNAcentral is "partial 16S ribosomal RNA". It matches the Rfam family "Archaeal large subunit ribosomal RNA", at positions 2025 to 2674 of the family's 2987-position model. The record is from RNAcentral. Lineage: Eukaryota; Metazoa; Annelida; Polychaeta; Phyllodocida; Syllidae.
GUGCUAAGGUAGCGCAAUAAUGUGCCCCUUAAUUAGGGGAUAGAAUGAAAGAAUCAACACAAAACACACUGUCUCUAUUUUAACCCAAAAACUUUAUCUUUAAGUGAAAAAGCUUAAAUAAUAUAAAAAGACAAGAAGACCCUAAAAGCUUUAUAACAACAAUGAUUAAACAAAAUCAUAGUUCUUUAGUUGGGAAGACAUCAAACUAACAAGACGUUUGACCACAAAAGACCAAGUCUAAAAAUUUAACCUACAAAAGAAUAUAAGUAAGCUACUUUAGGGGUAACAGGCUAAUAUUCUUUAAGAGUACACAUUGACAAGAAUGCUUGGCACCUCGAUGUUGGCUUAGGAAACCACUUUUAUGCAAAAGUAAAAAUAGGGGGUUUGUUCAACCCUUAAACUCCUACGUGAUC